GAACGGUAACAGGUCUUCGGACGCUGACGAGUGGCGAACGGGUGAGUAAUACAUCGGAACGUGCCCAGUCGUGGGGGAUAACUACUCGAAAGAGUAGCUAAUACCGCAUACGAUCUGAGGAUGAAAGCGGGGGACCUUCGGGCCUCGCGCGAUUGGAGCGGCCGAUGGCAGAUUAGGUAGUUGGUGGGAUAAAAGCUUACCAAGCCGACGAUCUGUAGCUGGUCUGAGAGGACGACCAGCCACACUGGGACUGAGACACGGCCCAGACUCCUACGGGAGGCAGCAGUGGGGAAUUUUGGACAAUGGGCGAAAGCCUGAUCCAGCAAUGCCGCGUGCAGGAUGAAGGCCUUCGGGUUUGUAAACUGCUUUUGUACGGAACGAAAAAGCUCCUUCUAAUACAGGGGGCCCAUGACGGUACCGUAAGAAUAAGCACCGGCUAACUACGUGCCAGCAGCCGCGGUAAUACGUAGGGUGCGAGCGUUAAUCGGAAUUACUGGGCGUAAAGCGUGCGCAGGCGGUUAUGUAAGACAGAUGUGAAAUCCCCGG
Molecule: ribosomal RNA, 546 nt
Filed under: uncultured beta proteobacterium
Lineage: Bacteria; Pseudomonadati; Pseudomonadota; Betaproteobacteria
Description: bacterial SSU rRNA
Rfam family: Bacterial small subunit ribosomal RNA
Source: RNAcentral